GAUGAAGAACGUAGUGAAAUGCGAUAAGUAAUGUGAAUUGCAGAAUUCAGUGAAUCAUCGAAUCUUUGAACGCACAUUGCGCCCGCUAGUAUUCUGGCGGGCAUGCCUGUCCGAGCGUCGUUUCAACCCUCAAGCCCCCGGGCUUGGUGUUGGGGAUCGGCGAGCCUCCGCGCCCGCCGUCCCCUAAAUCUAGUGGCGGUCUCGCUGUAGCUUCCUCUGCGUAGUAGCACACCUCGCACUGGGAAACAGCGCGGCCACGCCGUUAAACCCCCAACUUCUGAACGUUUGACCUCGGAUCAGGUAGGAAUACCCGCUGAACUUAAGCAUAUCAAUAAGCGGAGGA
Molecule: unclassified non-coding RNA, 343 nt
Filed under: soil metagenome
Description: partial contains 5.8S ribosomal RNA, internal transcribed spacer 2, and large subunit ribosomal RNA
Rfam family: 5.8S ribosomal RNA (bases 1-120)
Source: RNAcentral